Molecule: long non-coding RNA, 2703 nt
Filed under: Nothobranchius furzeri (turquoise killifish)
Lineage: Eukaryota; Metazoa; Chordata; Actinopteri; Cyprinodontiformes; Nothobranchiidae
Description: lncRNA (ENSNFUG00015001236.1)
Source: RNAcentral
AUGUUCUCCGUACCACAGGAGUACAUUCUCUGUACCACAGGAGUACGUUCUCCGUACCACAUGAGUAUGUUCUCCAUACCACCGGAUAGUAUGUUCUCCGUACCACAGGAGAGUAUGUUCUCCGUACCACAGGAGUACGUUCUCCAUACCACAGGAGUACGUUCUCCGUACCACCGGAGAGUAUGUUCUCCGUACCACAGGAGAGUAUGUUCUCCGUACCACAGGAGUACGUUCUCUGUACCACAGGAGUAUGUUCUCCGUAUCACAGGAGUAUGUUCUCCGUAUCACAGGAGUAUGUUCUCCGUAUCACAGGAGUAUGUUCUCCGUACCACAGGAGUACGUUCUCCGUACCACAGGAGUAUGUUCUCCGUACCACCGGAGUACGUUCUCCGUACCACCGGAGUACGUUCUCUGUACCAGAGGAGUACGUUCUCCGUAUCACAGGAGUAUGUUCUCCGUACCACCGGAGUAUAUUCUCUAUACCACAGGAGUAUGUUCUCCGUAGCACCGGAGAGUAUGUUUUCCGUACCACAGGAGUACAUUCUCUGUACCACCGGAGUAUGUUCUCCGUACCACCGGAGUACGUUCCCUGUACCACCGGAGUACGUUCUCCGUACCACAGGAGUAUGUUCUCCGUACCACCGGAGUAUGUUCUCCGCACCACCGGAGUAUGUUCUCCGUACCACAGGAGUACGUUCUCCGUACCACUGGAGAGUAUGUUCUCCGUACCACAGGAGUACGUUCUUCGUACCACAGGAGUAUGUUCUCCGUACCACCGGAGAGUAUGUUUUCCGUACCACAGGAGUACGUUCUCUGUACCACCGGAGAGUAUGUUCUCCGUACCACCGGAGAGUAUGUUCUCCGUACCACAGGAGUAUGUUCUCCAUACCACAGGAGUAUGUUCUCCGUACCACCGGAGUAUGUUCUCUGUACCACAGGAGUAUGUUCUCCGUACCACAAGAGUAUGUUCUCCAUACCACCGGAGUACGUUCCCUGUACCACAGGAGUACGUUCUUCGUACCACAGGAGUAUGUUCUCCGUACCACAGGAGUACGUUCUCCGUACCACUGGAGUAUGUUCUCCGUACCACUGGACUAUGUUCUCCGCACCACCGGAGUAUGUUCUCCGUACCACAGGAGUACGUUCUCCGUACCACUGGAGAGAAUGUUCUCCGUACCACAGGAGUACGUUCUUCGUACCACAGGAGUAUGUUCUCCGUACCACCGGAGUACGUUCUCCGUACCACAGGAGUAUGUUCUCCGUACCACCAGAGAAUGUUCUCCGUACCACCGGAGAGUAUGUUUUCCAUACCACAGGAGUACGUUCUCUGUACCACCGGAGAGUAUGUUCUCCGUACCACCGAAGAGUAUGUUCUCCGUACCACAGGAGUAUGUUCUCCAUACCACAGGAGUAUGUUCUCCGUACCAACGGAGUAUGUUCUCUGUACCACAGGAGUAUGUUCUCCGUACCACAGGAGUAUGUUCUCCGUACCACCGGAGUACGUUCCCCGUACCACAGGAGUACGUUCUCCGUACCACAGGAGUAUGUUCUCCGUACCACCGGAGAGUAUGUUCUCCGUACCACAGGAGUAUGUUCUCCAUACCACAGGAGUAUGUUCUCCGUACCACCGGAGUAUGUUCUCUGUACCACAGGAGUAUGUUCUCCGUACCACAGGAGUAUGUUCUCCGUACCACCGGAGUACGUUCCCUGUACCACAGGAGUACGUUCUCCGUACCACAGGAGUAUGUUCUCCGUACCACCGGAGAGUAUGUUCUCCGUACCACAAGAGUACGUUCUCUGUACCACAGGAGUACGUUCUCUGUACCACAGGAGUACGUUUUCUGUACCACAGGAGUACAUUCUCCGUACCACAGGAGUACGUUCUCUGUACCACAGGAGUACGUUUUCUGUACCACAGGAGUACAUUCUCCAUACCACAGGAGUACGUUCUCUGUACCACAGGAGUACGUUUUCUGUACCACAGGAGUACAUUCUCCGUACCACAGGAGUACGUUCUCUGUACCACAGGAGUACGUUUUCUGUACCACAGGAGUACAUUCUCCAUACCACAGGAGUACGUUCUCUGUACCACAGGAGUACGUUCUCCGUACCACCGGAGUAUGUUCUCCGCACCACCGGAGUACGUUUUCCAUACCACAGGAGUACGUUCUCUGUACCACCGGAGAGUAUGUUCUCCGUACCACCGGAGUAUGUUCUCCAUACCACAGGAGUAUGUUCUCCGUACCAACGGAGUAUGUUCUCUGUACCACAGGAGUAUGUUCUCCGUACCACAGGAGUAUGUUCUCCGUACCACCGGAGUACGUUCCCUGUACCACAGGAGUACGUUCUCCGUACCACAGGAGUAUGUUCUCCGUACCACCGGAGAGUAUGUUCUCCGUACCACAAGAGUACGUUCUCUGUACCACAGGAGUACGUUCUCUGUACCACAGGAGUACGUUUUCUGUACCACAGGAGUACAUUCUCCGUACCACAGGAGUACGUUCUCUGUACCACAGGAGUACGUUUUCUGUACCACAGGAGUACAUUCUCCAUACCACAGGAGUACGUUCUCCGUACCACCGGAGAGUAUAUUCUCCGUACCACAAGAGUAUGUUCUCUGUACCACAGGAGUACGUUCUCGUACCACAGGAGUAUGUUCUCGUACCACAGGAGAAUAUGUUCUCACUUGAUUUUAGCAUAUAG